UUUUCCUUAUUUAAAUGGUGCAUAUAAAGUCUCUCAAGUAAGAUUUUUCCCUCAAGUAUUUUCUUGCACCAUAUCAUCUAAUUAGACUAUUCAAAUGACUGCUUCCCUGCCCCAUCAUAAGAAUCUUCAGGUGCAUAAGAAUUAAAGUUUUCUCCCCCCAAGACUACCUCCCUGCCCCAUCAUAAGAAUCUUCAGGUGCAUAAGAAUUAAAGUUUUCUCCCCCCAAGACUACCUCCCUGCCCCAUCAUAAGAAUCUUCAGGUGCAUAAGAAUUAAAGUUUUCUCCCCCCAAGACUACCUCCCUGCCCCAUCAUAAGAAUCUUCAGGUGCAUAAGAAUUAAAGUUUUCUCCCCCCAAGACUACCUCCCUGCCCCAUCAUAAGAAUCUUCAGGUGCAUAAGAAUUAAAGUUUUCUCCCCCCAAGACAACCUCCCUGCCCCAUAUAAGAAUCUUGGAGUGUUGGUACAGGCCAGUGAACGCCCCCCUGCCCUCCUACACCUCCUGUGCUGCAUUUGUUGUGUGCUACACUCGACAGACUCUCUGUUCUCCAGUGUCAAGGAAUACACUGCAUGACUGGAAGACUGAGAUGCGCCGCCGCAUCCUCAACAUCCUAUUGUGUGAUUCCUCAAAGGGUGCCUUAUUAAACAAUUCCUAUUA
Molecule: long non-coding RNA, 655 nt
Organism: Eriocheir sinensis (Chinese mitten crab)
Lineage: Eukaryota; Metazoa; Arthropoda; Malacostraca; Decapoda; Varunidae
Exons: 2
Source: RefSeq, a predicted model, not a curated record